Molecule: ribosomal RNA, 324 nt
Filed under: Dryocoetes alni
Lineage: Eukaryota; Metazoa; Arthropoda; Insecta; Coleoptera; Curculionidae
Description: partial 12S small subunit ribosomal RNA
Source: RNAcentral
UCUGAACUACUAGUAGUUAAGUUCUUGAAAAUUAAUAAAGAUGGCGGUAUUUUAGUCUAUUCAGAGGAAUCUGUCCUGUAAUUGAUAACCCACGAUUUUAAGUACUUGGAGUUUUAGCUUAUAUAUCGUUGUAGUUGGAAUAUUUCUGUAGAAUGAAAAUGUUCAUAAGUUUUAAUAUAAAAAAUAUCAAGUCAAGAUGUAGCUUAUAGCUAAGGAGAGAUGGAUUACAUUAUAUAUAUUUGGAUUAUUUCUGUAAUGAGAUUUAUAAAAUGGAUUUGAUAGUAAUUAUUAUAUAAAUUUUAAUAAUGAUUUUAGCUCUNAAAU